GACGAACGCUGGCGGCGUGCUUAACACAUGCAAGUCGAACGGAAAGGCCUCUUUCGGGGGGUACUCGAGUGGCGAACGGGUGAGUAGCACGUGAGUAAACUGCCCUUGACUUUGGGAUAACUUCAGGAAACUGGGGCUAAUACCGGAUAGGAGCUCCUGCUGCCUGGUGGGGGCUGGAAAGUUUCGGCGGUUGGGGGUGGACUCGCGGCUUAUCAGCUUGUUGGUGGGGUAGUGGCUUACCAAGGCUUUGACGGGUAGCCGGCCUGAGAGGGUGACCGGCCACAUUGGGACUGAGAUACGGCCCAGACUCCUACGGGUGGCAGCAGUGGGGAAUAUUGCACAAUGGGUGGAAGCCUGAUGCAGCAACGCCGUGUGCGGGAUGACGGCCUUCGGGUUGUAAACCGCUUUCGCUCAUGACGAAGCUUUGUGUGACGGUAGUGGGUAAAGAAGCACCGGCUAACUACGUG
This 467-nucleotide ribosomal RNA is filed under the name uncultured bacterium. Its description in RNAcentral is "partial 16S ribosomal RNA". It matches the Rfam family "Bacterial small subunit ribosomal RNA", at positions 28 to 507 of the family's 1533-position model. The record is from RNAcentral.